UUCAGCCUUCUGAAAAUGUCUAGUGAAGCGUGGCACGUAGGUAAGGCUGUCAAUGGUUUGGUUUGUCUACGUUUUGUUUUUUUCAGUUAUGUGGGUUCCUGCCAUAAAUGUCUUGUGAUCACUCACAUUUCCUCUGGAAGUCCAAACAAUGCAGUAACGUGUUAUUUUGUGUCAACACAUAAUAUAUUACCAAUUCUUUCUA
Pelobates cultripes (western spadefoot toad) is the source of this 202-nucleotide non-coding RNA. NCBI's taxonomy places the organism in Eukaryota, Metazoa, Chordata, Amphibia, Anura, Pelobatidae. The record is from the annotation of a GenBank genome assembly.